This 361-nucleotide ribosomal RNA is filed under the name uncultured bacterium. RNAcentral's name for it is "partial 16S ribosomal RNA". It matches the Rfam family "Bacterial small subunit ribosomal RNA", at positions 338 to 697 of the family's 1533-position model. The record is from RNAcentral.
CCUACGGGAGGCAGCAGUGAGGAAUAUUGGUCAAUGGGCGCUAGCCUGAACCAGCCAAGUAGCGUGAAGGAUGACUGCGCUAUGAGUUGUAAACUGCUUUUAUAUGGGAAUAAAGGGCAGUAUGUAUACGGCUCUGCAUGUACCGUAAGAAUAAGGAUCGGCUAACUCCGUGCCAGCAGCCGCGGUAAUACGGAGGAUCCGAGCGUUUUCGGAUUUAUGGGGUUUAAAGGGGGUGGCGGCGGGGGCGUAAGUCAGAUGUGAAAAACCUGGGCUCAAACCUGGACAUGCAUUUGAAACGGUUUGUCUUGAGAGCUGUCGAGGCAGUCGGAAUGCCGGGUGUAGCGGUGAAAUGCUUAGAUAU